Molecule: long non-coding RNA, 222 nt
Filed under: Elaeis guineensis (African oil palm)
Lineage: Eukaryota; Viridiplantae; Streptophyta; Magnoliopsida; Arecales; Arecaceae
Description: long non-coding RNA (EGUI_LNC011124)
Source: RNAcentral
AAUAAAAUUAUUCACUAAGAGUUAGUGAAAUUUAAGAGAAUUAAUUAGUAAUUAGAUUGCUGAUUAGCUCAAUUUGAUUGAGCAUUAAAGUUUGGAUCAUGUCUAAUUGAAUUAGAUUCAAUUAGGUCAAACCCGAUUAAGUUAUAGGAUGACCUAGUUGCUAAGGGAGAUUAAGAUCAGGACCUGGAUCCAAUUAAUUUCUAAUUGAGUGAGGAUCAAGUU